UACGUAGGGGGCAAGCGUUGUCCGGAAUCAUUGGGCGUAAAGCGCGUGUAGGCGGCUGAGUAAGUCUGCUCUGAAAGCCCGGGGCUCAACCCCGGGAGGCGGGUGGAUACUGCUCAGCUCGAGUCCGGAAGAGGAGUGUGGAAUUCCUGGUGUAGCGGUGAAAUGCGCAGAUAUCAGGAGGAACACCGGUGGCGAAGGCGGGUCUCUGGGCCGAUACUGACGCUGAGGAGCGAAAGCGUGGGGAGCGAACAGG
RNAcentral lists this ribosomal RNA (253 nucleotides) under uncultured bacterium. RNAcentral's name for it is "partial 16S ribosomal RNA". It matches the Rfam family "Bacterial small subunit ribosomal RNA", at positions 524 to 776 of the family's 1533-position model. The record is from RNAcentral.